AGCAACCCAAAGCCUCCGCCUUUCUCCCCCCCUUUCCGCCCAAACAAACCGCCCCCUCCCCCUCCCCCUCCCGUCGCCCUCACCUCCUCCUUCGCCGGCAGUAUACUACUACCACUCCCCGCCACCAGCUCCGACGACCCGCGCCUNCCGCCCGCCCGCGCACCGUCGUCUCCCGUCCCCCCGCCGCGGUGAGUGCUCCGAAUUUCCGCUCCUCCGGCCCUUUACCUUUCGGCACGGAGCGCACGGCCCUCGCUCCCGCACGCGUCGUGCUGGCCUUCUGCGGGUUUUUUGGUUGCCCGUGCGGUGCUAGGGGAUCCCUGUGAGUGAUCCCGGUCGCCCCGGCGUUUCUGGGCCGAGUUUUGGUUUGCGCCGCAGGGGAAGAAGGGGCCGCGGGUAAUGUCAGGGACGGACGGACGAUCCCCGCGGGCUGGAAUCUGAUUUGUUUGUCUUCUUCUAAUCUACCUCUCGUUCCUGAUUGUUCACGACUUGGUUGCCCUUUGUUCCGCCCAUGUACUGAAUCCUCCCAGAGGGGGGGAUCAGAAUGGAUUGAAAAAAAAGAGAAAGGACUGUUGCGUGAAGAUACUACCAGAAGAGAAUUUCUAUUGUCUAUUGGCUAGAUACCACUCGCAGAAGAGAAUUUCUUUCUCGCAAGCCACGAAUGCGUAAAGCGACGUUUGCGCCUUUCCCUCUGCUUUUCGUUGUUCUUGAUAGCUUAGUCCUGAGUUCUGCGACGGAAUUUCUCUUGGAAUUUUGAUGCGUUGGUGUGUGUGUCGCGGGAGAUGCCGUGAAAGUGAAAGCUCGGCUUGAUGGACGUACAUUUACUUGUGGUAAUAAUUGCUUUUCUGGUAACUGCCUAGAGUAGGCAAGGAAAAGAUCUCACUAUAAAUUUGGGCUUCUGCUGACUUUUCUUGUGUCUAUAAGCUACUCCCUCCCUUCCAAGAUACAUGACGUUUUAGAUAUGGACACAAUCUCUAAUAUGCAACUUUGAUUAUCGUUUUUUUAAUCGUAUAAAUAUUUUUUCUAAAAUUAUUUUCCAUUGCCAAUCUAAUGGUUCGAUUUCUAUGAAUAAAUCUAAGCAUUUUUUAGAAUUACUUGUCAAAGAUAAAGGAGAUAGUAGUGUCGUAUGCUUGUGAGCAACUGGAGGAGGCGGACGUUGGCUUAUGGCGUACGCGGUCUGGCUUUAAUGAGAGGAAGAUAUCCAGCUGGUUGUAUUUUGUAUGCAUAAUUAUUUCAGGCUCCCUAUAUCUAAAAAAUGGAAGAUAAUCGCUUGUCGUCUUCUAUCAUGGCUGAAUGUCUGAAUCAGUUACCACUCUAUCUAACAGAAUCUAUUGCUGAAUUGACUGUAGAAUAAAGCAGGAANNN
This 1362-nucleotide long non-coding RNA is filed under the name Hordeum vulgare. RNAcentral describes it as "long non-coding RNA (HVUL_LNC017896)". Lineage: Eukaryota; Viridiplantae; Streptophyta; Magnoliopsida; Poales; Poaceae. The record is from RNAcentral.